UCAAUCUUGGUGCAGAUGUUGGAGUGAC
This 28-nucleotide small RNA is filed under the name Bombyx mori (domestic silkworm). RNAcentral describes it as "ovarian small RNA-24853". The record is from RNAcentral. Lineage: Eukaryota; Metazoa; Arthropoda; Insecta; Lepidoptera; Bombycidae.